UACGUAGGGGGCAAGCGUUAUCCGGAUUUACUGGGUGUAAAGGGAGCGUAGACGGCAGCGCAAGUCUGAAGUGAAAGCCCGGGGCUCAACCCCGGAAUGGCUUUGGAAACUGCGCGGCUAGAGUACCGGAGGGGUAAGCGGAAUUCCUAGUGUAGCGGUGAAAUGCGUAGAUAUUAGGGGGAACACCAGUGGCGAAGGCGGCUUACUGGACGGUAACUGACGUUGAGGCUCGAAAGCGUGGGGAGCAAACAGG
Molecule: ribosomal RNA, 253 nt
Filed under: uncultured bacterium
Lineage: Bacteria
Description: partial 16S ribosomal RNA
Rfam family: Bacterial small subunit ribosomal RNA
Source: RNAcentral